UAGUACGGCCCAUGUUGGCUC
This 21-nucleotide microRNA is filed under the name Tribolium castaneum (red flour beetle). RNAcentral's name for it is "tca-miR-3851d-3p". The record is from miRBase by way of RNAcentral. Lineage: Eukaryota; Metazoa; Arthropoda; Insecta; Coleoptera; Tenebrionidae.